This 74-nucleotide transfer RNA is filed under the name Nocardiopsis composta. It matches the Rfam family "tRNA". Rfam says of the family: Transfer RNA (tRNA) molecules are approximately 80 nucleotides in length. Their secondary structure includes four short double-helical elements and three loops (D, anti-codon, and T loops). RNAcentral also lists the same sequence under 1 other name. Lineage: Bacteria; Bacillati; Actinomycetota; Actinomycetes; Streptosporangiales; Nocardiopsidaceae. The record is from Rfam by way of RNAcentral.
GGGCGCAUAGCUCAGUCGGCCAGAGCAUCCGGCUUACAACCGGAAGGUCGCAGGUUCGAGCCCUGCUGCGCCCA